AAUGAACGCUGGCGGCAGGCCUAAAACAUGCAAGUCGAGCGGCCCUAGCAAUAGGGAGCGGCGCACGGGUGAGUAACACGUGGGAAUAUGCCCUUUUGGUACGGGAACAACCUCGGGAAACUGAGGCUAAUACCGUAUGGUCCCUUCGGGUAAGAUUAUCGCCAAAAGAGUAGCCCGCGUUGGAUUAGACUAGUUGGUAAGGUAACGGCUUACCAAGGCGACGAUCCAUAGCUGGUCUGAGAGGACGAUCAGCCACACUGGGACUGAGACACGGCCAGA
Molecule: ribosomal RNA, 279 nt
Filed under: uncultured bacterium
Lineage: Bacteria
Description: partial 16S ribosomal RNA
Rfam family: Bacterial small subunit ribosomal RNA
Source: RNAcentral